RNAcentral lists this unclassified non-coding RNA (175 nucleotides) under uncultured fungus. Its description in RNAcentral is "sequence contains ITS1, 5.8S rRNA gene". Lineage: Eukaryota; Fungi. The record is from RNAcentral.
CCAAUUUAAUCCAAAUCCCAACCCAUGUGCACGAUGAUUGUUUGUCCUUGGGGUGAUGUUUUAUGUUCGUGGUAUUGCAUUUGUAAUACUCUCGCAGCGUAGAAUAGUUACCCCGCCAUUGUUAACAAAAUCCUUUUAUUAGUAUUGGAAUCUCUGUCUUGCUUAAUAAGUAUGA